GUGUCAGCAGCCGCGGUAAUACAGAGGGUGCAAGCGUUAAUCGGAGUUACUGGGCGUAAAGGGCGCGUAGGCGGUCUUACAAGUGAGAUGUGAAAUCCCCGGGCUUAACCUGGGAACUGCAUCUUAAACUGUAAGGCUGGAGUACUGUAGAGGAUAGUGGAAUUUCCGGUGUAGCGGUGAAAUGCGUAGAGAUCGGAAGGAACACCAGUGGCGAAGGCGACUGUCUGGACAGAUACUGACGCUGAGGCGCGAAAGCGUGGGGAGCAAACAGGAUUAGAAACCCUAGUAGUCC
This 292-nucleotide ribosomal RNA is filed under the name uncultured bacterium. RNAcentral describes it as "partial 16S ribosomal RNA". It matches the Rfam family "Bacterial small subunit ribosomal RNA", at positions 505 to 796 of the family's 1533-position model. The record is from RNAcentral.